UUCCACUCACAUGUUUUCACAUUAUUCAGCAUGUUAAUUGGGUACCCACUAUUACUAGCCACCUUACCAGCACAGCAGAUGACAGAUGAACAAGGAGCACAAUCUCAUAGGAGCUUUAUCACAUGUGUUUCUAGGCUGAAAAGGCCCUUCUUUGUACUUCUUGAUAGGUGGAGUACAGGAAUGUAGAAGUCAGAAACCUAGGUUCAAACUCCAGUUCUAAGAUACAUAGUUUCUGUGUGAUUUAGGAAAAAUAAUCUCUCCGAACCUCAGUCCCCCAUCUGGAAAAUUGGUAUGAUACUUACCUCAUAAGGCUAUGGGGAUUAAUUAAAAUUAUGUAUGUAGAGCACUUUGCAGAGUAUAGAGAGUGCUAAAUAAAUGGAUGCUGGGGUUAUUAAGUGAGAGCCCUAGGAUGGAUGGAUCAUGGGUUUCCAAAUAUGGGAUGCAAUUUCAAGUUCUUAACACCAAAUAUAACCCUACUUGUUUUAGGUUCCUGGCAUUCAUCCUAUCAUCCCCAGUUUACUGCACCUCAGGUUAUUAAGGAUGUGGGAGGGAUUCUACAAGGGUAUGUUCCCCCAGAGCUUUUUGGUACCCUGCAAUCCUAGAAAUUGUUGAUGCUAGGAUGUCUGGAGAGCACUGGCCAUUUAUUACUGAGAAGUAUAUGUUACAAAGGAGAUGGGAGUAGUAAGGAAAGUUG
Molecule: long non-coding RNA, 694 nt
Filed under: Pan troglodytes (chimpanzee)
Lineage: Eukaryota; Metazoa; Chordata; Mammalia; Primates; Hominidae
Description: long non-coding RNA NONPTRT005099
Source: RNAcentral